RNAcentral lists this small RNA (222 nucleotides) under Pan troglodytes (chimpanzee). RNAcentral describes it as "retained intron". Lineage: Eukaryota; Metazoa; Chordata; Mammalia; Primates; Hominidae. The record is from RNAcentral.
GUGUUCUGACUUUUAUGUAUUCGCCUUAUCCAGACAGUUGAAUUUCUGAAUGAAAAGCUGGAAAAAAGGGAGGCUCAGUUAUUAUCUCUUAGUAAGGAAAAAGCACUUCUAGAAGAAGCUUUUGAUAACCUGAAAGAUGAAAUGUUCAGAGUGAAAGAAGAAAGCAGUAGCAUUUCUUCCUUGAAAGAUGAAUUUACUCAAAGAAUUGCAGAAGCAGAAAAG